This 886-nucleotide ribosomal RNA is filed under the name uncultured rumen bacterium. Its description in RNAcentral is "bacterial SSU rRNA". It matches the Rfam family "Bacterial small subunit ribosomal RNA", at positions 505 to 1397 of the family's 1533-position model. The record is from RNAcentral.
GUGCCAGCCGCCGCGGUAAUACGGAAGGUCCGGGCGUUAUCCGGAUUUAUUGGGUUUAAAGGGAGCGCAGGCGGAGAGCUAAGCGUGACGUGAAAUGUAGCCGCCCAACGGCUGACGUGCGUCGCGAACUGGUUUUCUUGAGUGGGUACGACGUCGGCGGAACUCGUGGUGUAGCGGUGAAAUGCUUAGAUAUCACGAGGAACCCCGAUUGCGAAGGCAGCCGACGAGUCCCUUACUGACGCUAAAGCUCGAAGGUGCGGGUAUCGAACAGGAUUAGAUACCCUGGUAGUCCGCACGGUAAACGAUGGAUGCCCGCUGUUGGCGACACACUGUCAGCGGCCAAGCGAAACGUUAAGCAUCCCACCUGGGGAGUACGCCGGCAACGGUGAAACUCAAAGGAAUUGACGGGGGCCCGCACAAGCGGAGGAACAUGUGGUUUAAUUCGAUGAUACGCGAGGAACCUUACCCGGGCUUGAACUGCCGGCGAACGAUUCAGAGAUGAUGAGGCCCUUCGGGCGCCGGUGGAGGUGCUGCAUGGUUGUCGUCAGCUCGUGCCGUGAGGUGUCGGCUUAAGUGCCAUAACGAGCGCAACCCCUCUCCGUAGUUGCCAUCGGGUUAAGCCGGGCACUCUGCGGACCACUGCCACCGCAAGGUGUGAGGAAGGUGGGGAUGACGUCAAAUCAGCACGGACCUUACGUCCGGGGCUACACACGUGUUACAAUGGGGAGUACAGAGAGCCGGUCUGGGCAACGCCGAUCCAAUCCUUAAAGCUCUCCUCAGUUCGGAUUGGGUCUGCAACCCGACCCCAUGAAGCUGGAUUCGCUAGUAAUCGCGCAUCAGCCAUGGCGCGGUGAAUAAGUUACCGGGCCUUGUACACACCGCCCGU